This 62-nucleotide transfer RNA is filed under the name Amazonina sp. Z256E. RNAcentral's name for it is "tRNA-Asp". The record is from RNAcentral. Lineage: Eukaryota; Metazoa; Arthropoda; Insecta; Blattodea; Pseudophyllodromiidae.
AAAGAAUUAGUUAAAUAAUAACAUUAACUUGUCAAAUUAAAAUUAUCUAUAGAUAUUCUUUU